GAAUUAUUGGGCGUAAAGCGCGCGCAGGCGGCUAUUUAAGUCUGGUGUUUAAACCUUGGGCUCAACCUGGGGUCGCACUGGAAACUGGGUGGCUUGAGUACAGAAGAGGAAAGUGGAAUUCCACGUGUAGCGGUGAAAUGCGUAGAUAUGUGGAGGAACACCAGUGGCGAAGGCGACUUUCUGGGCUGUAACUGACGCUGAGGCGCGAAAGCGUGGGGAGCAAACAGGAUUAGAUACCCUGGUAGUCCACGCCGUAAACGAUGAGUGCUAGGUGUUAGGGGUUUCGAUACCCUUGGUGCCGAAGUUAACACAGUAAGCACUCCGCCUGGGGAGUACGGUCGCAAGACUGAAACUCAAAAGAAUUGACGGGGACCCGCACAAGCAGUGGAGUAUGUGGUUUAAUUCGAAGCAACGCGAAGAACCUUACCAGGUCUUGACAUCCAACUAACGAAGCAGAGAUGCAUUAGGUGCCCUUCGGGGAAAGUUGAGACAGGUGGUGCAUGGU
RNAcentral lists this ribosomal RNA (505 nucleotides) under uncultured low G+C Gram-positive bacterium. Its description in RNAcentral is "bacterial SSU rRNA". It matches the Rfam family "Bacterial small subunit ribosomal RNA", at positions 548 to 1049 of the family's 1533-position model. Lineage: Bacteria; Bacillati; Bacillota. The record is from RNAcentral.